RNAcentral lists this ribosomal RNA (395 nucleotides) under uncultured bacterium. RNAcentral describes it as "partial 16S ribosomal RNA". It matches the Rfam family "Bacterial small subunit ribosomal RNA", at positions 523 to 918 of the family's 1533-position model. The record is from RNAcentral.
AUACGUAGGGUGCAAGCGUUAAUCGGAAUUACUGGGCGUAAAGCGUGCGCAGGCGGUUUUGUAAGACAGGGGUGAAAUCCCCGGGCUCAACAUGGGAACUGCCAUUGAGACUGCAAGGCCGGAGUGCGGCAGAGGGGGAUGGAAUUCCGCGUGUAGCAGUGAAAUGCGUCGAUAUGCGGAGGAACACCGAAGGCGAAGGCAAUCCCCUGGGCCUGUACUGACGCUCAUGCACGAAAGCGUGGGGAGCAAACAGGAUUAGAUGCCCGGGUAGUCCACGCCCUAAACGAUGUCAACUGUUUGUUGGGUCUUCAUGGACUCAGAAACGAGGCUAACGCGUGAAGUUGACCGCCUGGGGAGUACGGCCGCAAGGUUGAAACUCAAAUGAAUUGACGGGU